Panthera uncia (snow leopard) is the source of this 504-nucleotide long non-coding RNA. RefSeq lists it as uncharacterized. NCBI's taxonomy places the organism in Eukaryota, Metazoa, Chordata, Mammalia, Carnivora, Felidae. The record is from RefSeq and is a predicted model, not a curated record. The transcript is spliced from 4 exons.
GCAAAGAUGAAAGAAGCAUCAGAUGCAAAAUUUCAAGUGCAGAUUUUUCUUCCUUAGGAAUUCUUUGUUGAAAUGGACCUGUUCCUAAGUUAAUGAUGACUCUCUACACCUUUGUAUAGAAAGAUCUCCAACAUUACCAGAUCCAACUAAAACUUCACCAAUUUGCAAAUUAUCCAUCAGCCAUUGUCUGAAUCUAUGCAAUGCUUUGGAUGUCUAAGUGAACAUGUGUGGCUUCAGGUGCUAUUUUCCAAUCUUUUCCAGAUGAUCCCACAUGGAAACUUGCUCAGACGCCCAGUUUCAGAUCUGAGAGAUUGGAGGGACCUUUAAGAGAUAGAGAGAGAGGAAGCUGUGCUGGAGCAUUUGCCCCGACAUCUGUCUUCUUUUCUCCUAAAGAUCUGGAGCUGCACAUUUUUAGCUGGAUGGCAUCUGAGGUGAUGUGAUGAGCCAUCUGAACCAUAUGGGCAAGGACGAUUCUCUAGAGAUGAAAAAGUGGCAUGAUGGAAG